GUCUUGGAGUCCCAAAUAGGACGAAACGCGCGUCCUGGAU
Molecule: non-coding RNA, 40 nt
Organism: Schistosoma rodhaini
Lineage: Eukaryota; Metazoa; Platyhelminthes; Trematoda; Strigeidida; Schistosomatidae
Source: Rfam